Molecule: ribosomal RNA, 251 nt
Filed under: uncultured bacterium
Lineage: Bacteria
Description: partial 16S ribosomal RNA
Rfam family: Bacterial small subunit ribosomal RNA
Source: RNAcentral
ACGUAGGGGGCAAGCGUUAUCCGGAUUUACUGGGUGUAAAGGGAGCGUAGACGGACGGGCAAGUCUGAAGUGAAAGGCAGGGGCUCAACCCCUGGACUGCUUUGGAAACUGUCCAUCUAGAGUGCCGGAGAGGUAAGCGGAAUUCCUAGUGUAGCGGUGAAAUGCGUAGAUAUUAGGAGGAACACCAGUGGCGAAGGCGGCUUACUGGACGGUAACUGACGUUGAGGCUCGAAAGCGUGGGGAGCAAACAG